Non-coding RNA from Kogia breviceps (pygmy sperm whale), 1100 nucleotides. The record is from RefSeq and is a predicted model, not a curated record. NCBI's taxonomy places the organism in Eukaryota, Metazoa, Chordata, Mammalia, Artiodactyla, Physeteridae.
CUAUGUCGGCACAUCGUGAAGGCAUGUAGUUGCUGGGCUGUGGACAGCGUCCAGGAGGCUCCCUGCGCCCGCGGAAACGGGAGUAGGGUAAGUACGAGAGCUUGGGAGGUCCAGGCGCUGUGCCUUGUACACCCCAUGACCGCAGCGAAUGUCCCGCCUCCCCGAGCUCGUGUGUCCUCGGCUGUCGGGAAACCGCCUGGCGCCGGGGUUCCCUGCGGAUACCUCCGUCAAGGCCCGUCUGUGUCCGUGGCCGCCCCGUAGUCGUCGCCCUGUGCGUUGUGUCCGCUUUACGGGGAAGAAGACCCAGACUCAAAAGCCAGCCAUUCCGAGGUCUUGACUCAUUUUGUUGCUGGACUGCGGGCGUGAUAAGCGAGCCGAUCGACUAGGCACGGAUGAGGUAGAGUCUCCUGAUGUCCACCUGGCUGUACUCCGAACCCCAGUGCCCCAAGUCCCUGACUCAGCCUCAGGCCUGGGUGUUCAGGACAGUGGAACGUUCACAGGUCGGGGGUCUCCCUUUCAGAAUCCAGUGUGAUAAAACGUGGAGCGUGCAGGCGGAGGAAUGUGCCUGUGCGAAGGCUCGGAGUGCGGUCACCCAACUUGAACAUCGAGGGGACCUGGCUGGUGGACGAGGUGUCUAGAAUCAGUUCAUGACCAGAGAGACCCAUGGAAGACCAGUCCUGGUGAGUGUAAGACAGGUUUGGAAGGGCCUGUGGCAGUGCGCUGAUCUCUUACCUGGUACCUGACCUGUGUCUUCUGUCGCCCUGGCAUCAAUGUCCUCCAUCAUUGGCCUCCCCUUCACAUAUCCUUAAAUAGUUCUUGAAAACCUGUUCUUCCGUGAGCCUGACUGUUCCCUCUGAGGAAGGUGGGCGCAGUGUCAGGGGUCCCAGGCCUGGACUCCCCUCACUGCACAGCACCUGUCUGUCACCAGACACUGAGGCCCUGCCAGCUCCACAUUCUGCACAAUCCACAGAGAACUGACACUGAAAGAGACACUGCUCAAUGCACAGCAAAUGGAGAGGUGUUCAAGGAGAGGUGUUCCCUUUUCUACCACCAAAAAAAACUUAAGAAUGGGAAAAAAAAAAUCCCAAGUUCAUUUUGAA